GCUAAGAGAAUGGAAUUACAGGGAAUAACUAUUUAAAACUUAAAAAUUAAAUUUAUUUUAAUUUGUGAAGAAACAAUUAUUAGAAUUAAGGACAAGAAGACCCUAAGAAUUUUAAAAUAAUUAAUUUCUUGCAAGAAAUUAAUUAUUUUUAGUUGGGGCAACUAGAAAAUAUUAUAAACUUUUUUAAUACAAAAUGAUCCAUUAUUAAUGAUAAUUUGGAAAAAAUACUCUAGGGAUAACAGCGUAA
RNAcentral lists this ribosomal RNA (247 nucleotides) under Dermacentor variabilis (American dog tick). Its description in RNAcentral is "partial large subunit ribosomal RNA". The record is from RNAcentral. Lineage: Eukaryota; Metazoa; Arthropoda; Arachnida; Ixodida; Ixodidae.